This 70-nucleotide transfer RNA is filed under the name Chodsigoa hoffmanni. Its description in RNAcentral is "tRNA-Tyr". It matches the Rfam family "tRNA". Rfam says of the family: Transfer RNA (tRNA) molecules are approximately 80 nucleotides in length. Their secondary structure includes four short double-helical elements and three loops (D, anti-codon, and T loops). Further hydrogen bonds mediate the characteristic L-shaped molecular structure. tRNAs have two regions of fundamental functional importance: the anti-codon, which is responsible for specific mRNA codon recognition, and the 3' end, to which the tRNAs corresponding amino acid is attached (by aminoacyl-tRNA synthetases). tRNAs cope with the degeneracy of the genetic code in two manners: having more than one tRNA (with a specific anti-codon) for a particular amino acid; and 'wobble' base-pairing, i.e. permitting non-standard base-pairing at the 3rd anti-codon position. Lineage: Eukaryota; Metazoa; Chordata; Mammalia; Eulipotyphla; Soricidae. The record is from RNAcentral.
GGUAAAAUGGCUGAGGUUAAGCAUUAGACUGUAAAUCUAAAGACAGAGGAUGAAAUCCUCUUUUUACCAG